GAUGAACGCUAGCGAUAGGCUUAACACAUGCAAGUCGAGGGGCAGCAUGGUCUUAGCUUGCUAAGACUGAUGGCGACCGGCGCACGGGUGCGUAACGCGUAUGCAACUUGCCUCACAGAGGGGGAUAACCCGUCGAAAGACGGACUAAUACCGCGUACACUUGGGAUAGGGCAUCCUGACCCAAGGAAAUGAAAUUCGCUGUGAGAUAGGUAUGCGUCCCAUUAGCUAGUUGGUGAGGUAACGGCUCACCAAGGCGACGAUGGGUAGGGGAACUGAGAGGUUGAACCCCCACACUGGUACUGAGACACGGACCAGACUCCUACGGGAGGCAGCAGUGAGGAAUAUUGGUCAAUGGGCGAGAGCCUGAACCAGCCAAGUCGCGUGAAGGAUGACUGUCUUAUGGAUUGUAAACUUCUUUUAUACGGGAAUAACAAGAGCCACGUGUGGCUCCCUGCAUGUACCGUAUGAAUAAGCAUCGGCUAACUCCGUG
This 490-nucleotide ribosomal RNA is filed under the name uncultured bacterium. RNAcentral's name for it is "partial 16S ribosomal RNA". It matches the Rfam family "Bacterial small subunit ribosomal RNA", at positions 28 to 507 of the family's 1533-position model. The record is from RNAcentral.